AGAGCGAACGCUGGCGGCAGGCCUAAAACAUGCAAGUCGAACGGACCCUUCGGGGUUAGUGGCGGACGGGUGAGUAACACGUGGGAACGUGCCUUUUGGUUCAGAACAACUCAGGGAAACUUGAGCUAAUACUGAAUAAGCCCUACGGGGGAAAGAUUUAUCGCCAUUAGAGCGGCCCGCGUUGGAUUAGCUAGUUGGUGAGGUAAAGGCUCACCAAGGCUACGAUCCAUAGCUGGUCUGAGAGGAUGAUCAGCCACACUGGGACUGAGACACGGCCCAGACUCCUACGGGAGGCAGCAGUUAGGAAUCUUGCGCAAUGGGCGAAAGCCUGACGCAGCCAUGCCGCGUGAAUGAUGAAGGUCUUAGGAUUGUAAAAUUCUUUCAGCGGGAAGAUAAUGACUGUACCCGCAGAAGAAGCUCCGGCUAACUCGCGCCAGCAGCCGC
RNAcentral lists this ribosomal RNA (444 nucleotides) under uncultured bacterium. RNAcentral describes it as "SSU rRNA". It matches the Rfam family "Bacterial small subunit ribosomal RNA", at positions 26 to 518 of the family's 1533-position model. The record is from RNAcentral.